AUUACUUGGAGGAUGAGACGAACUUAGCGUAGUCAUAAUUUGUGGUCCGGAUUUGGUACUGGAUUGGGUGCUCCUGCAAUGUUGACCAUCGUUGGUGGACAACAGAGAGUAUCGUCGACAUAGCCUAGUAAAUCAUAGCCAAAUAGAAGAUUAGAAAAUUGUGCAUGUCAGGAUGCAUAGUUGCCACCUUUGGAUAAUUUGAAGGGGAUAAGAGUUGCAGCAUUGAUGGAGAUAAGGCCUGUAUGUUGAGAAAUGAGAAGUACUAUGGUUCCUAUCGGGAUAAUAACUAGAGCAUCAAAGCUAGACGAUGAAGACAUGUGGAGGAGAUGUACCAAUUUGAGGAAGCAAGGUGAGAGCCUUCAAAUAUAUAAUGGGUUGUUAGGAUCAGGGUCGGCACUAAGAGGGGGGGGUGAAUUAGUGCAACGGUAAAAUCGUCUUCUAAAAACCUUUCGUUUCGAUUAAAUCCAUUUCUGACGAAAUACCCAUCUUGGAAAAUGUUUAACUUUAAAACGUUUGCAAGAAUGUAAUGAGCAAGUGAAGUAAGUAAAUCAGUUUGCAAUGCGAGAAUUAAAGGCAAAACAAGAAUGCAAACCGAUUUAUAGUGGUUUGGUCGUCGUGACCUACAUCCACUCCGCCGAUUCCUCUUCCGUCGAACCCACCGGCAUCCACUAUCAAUCUUCCUUUAAUAGGCGAUGAUUAACCUCCUUCUUACACCCCUCUUUUCCUUUUACCGGGUUUAGAAGACAACCCUUACAAGCACUCACUCCUCUCUUACAGAAUUCUAAACUUAGAGUGGAGGAGGGAAUUUCUCAAGAAAUUACAGCAGCGUUUUCUCACUUUUAAAUUCUCUGUGCUUGUAUCUUUUAACCAGGGAUGAGAGGGGUAUUUAUAGGCUUCAAGUUGAUUCAAACUUGGAGCCUAAAAACAUCUCAUCCUGGGUUUCCCGGG
This 948-nucleotide long non-coding RNA is filed under the name Musa acuminata (dwarf banana). RNAcentral describes it as "long non-coding RNA (MACU_LNC010513)". The record is from RNAcentral. Lineage: Eukaryota; Viridiplantae; Streptophyta; Magnoliopsida; Zingiberales; Musaceae.